CCCCUCUUGGGGUUGCACCUGGAGAGUAUCCAGUACUCUACCAAUCUCAUCUGUGAGAGGGAGAGUCAAACAGAGGCAUACCCAUUUCAUUCCUAGCUUGGGCAGUGGCUAGUGAGUGGAAGGCAAUCCAGAACAAGU
This is a small nucleolar RNA of Tachyglossus aculeatus (Australian echidna), 138 nucleotides long. The record is from RefSeq and is a predicted model, not a curated record. NCBI's taxonomy places the organism in Eukaryota, Metazoa, Chordata, Mammalia, Monotremata, Tachyglossidae.